AUUCCAGCUCCAAUAGCGUAUACUAAAGUUGUUGCAGUUAAAAAGCUCGUAGUUGAAUUUCUGGUCUCGGACAGCGGUCUGCCUCAAACGAGGUACGCACCACCUGUUCAGGUCCAUCCUCGGAGACAACAUGCCUGUGAUUCAGUUCAUGGGUAUGGGAUCUUCGUCAUUUACUGUGAGCAAAAUAUAGCGUUCAAAGCAGGCUUAUGCCGUUGAAUACAUUAGCAUGGAAUAAUAAAAUAAGACCUUGGUCUAUUUUGUUGGUUUGUACUCCAAGGUAAUGAUUAAUAGGGAUAGUUGGGGGUAUUCGUAUUCAAUUGUCAGAGGUGAAAUUCUUGGAUUUAUGGAAGACGAACUACUGCGAAAGCAUUACCAAGGAUGUUUUCAUCA
This 390-nucleotide ribosomal RNA is filed under the name Chrysophyceae sp. RNAcentral describes it as "partial small subunit ribosomal RNA". It matches the Rfam family "Eukaryotic small subunit ribosomal RNA", at positions 582 to 975 of the family's 1831-position model. Lineage: Eukaryota; Chrysophyceae. The record is from RNAcentral.